UUCUGCCCUAAUACGGAGGGAGGAUGACGGUACCGGAAGAAUAAGCACCGGCUAACUACGUGCCAGCAGCCGCGGUAAUACGUAGGGUGCGAGCGUUAAUCGGAAUUACUGGGCGUAAAGCGUGCGCAGGCGGUUCGUUAAGACAGAUGUGAAAUCCCCGGGCUUAACCUGGGAACUGCAUUUGUGACUGGCGAGCUAGAGUAUGGCAGAGGGGGGUAGAAUUCCACGUGUAGCAGUGAAAUGCGUAGAGAUGUGGAGGAAUACCGAUGGCGAAGGCAGCCCCCUGGGCCUGUACUGACGCUCAUGCACGAAAGCGUGGGGAGCAAACAGGAUUAGAUACCCUGGUAGUCCACGCCCUAAACGAUGUCAACUAGUUGUUGGGGAUUCAUUGCCUUAG
This 397-nucleotide ribosomal RNA is filed under the name Burkholderia sp. NAR9(7). RNAcentral describes it as "bacterial SSU rRNA". It matches the Rfam family "Bacterial small subunit ribosomal RNA", at positions 448 to 843 of the family's 1533-position model. The record is from RNAcentral. Lineage: Bacteria; Pseudomonadati; Pseudomonadota; Betaproteobacteria; Burkholderiales; Burkholderiaceae.